Alnus glutinosa is the source of this 477-nucleotide long non-coding RNA. RefSeq lists it as uncharacterized. NCBI's taxonomy places the organism in Eukaryota, Viridiplantae, Streptophyta, Magnoliopsida, Fagales, Betulaceae. The record is from RefSeq and is a predicted model, not a curated record. The transcript has 2 exons.
AAUUUCUAGUAGUUUUCUGAGUAAAUCUUAAAGAUGAUGAACUGAGAGACGGUAAAAAAGACUGUUGUGAGUAUUUCUUACUCACUGGAGAUGAUACGUACGUGAUGGUGGUCUUUAAUAGUGUUAUGAUUUCUGUUUCAUUUAAUGGUAUACAAGUUGUUUGUAACAUGCUUUGUUUGGAGCUUUGAAUACCUCACUGUUGUGAGUAUUACUUACUCAUUGGGGAUGAUACGUGUUGGUGGUCUUUGAUGACGUUAUGGGGAAAUGCUAAAGAUGAGUCUUUCAUCCCCCCCUUGUCACCCCCUUUUCCUUAAAAAAAUUGAUUUUUAUUAUAAAUGAGUGACAAGGGGGGAUGAGGGGUGCAUAUGUAGAAAGACUCGACGUUAUGACAUCUGUUUUAUUUAAUUGUAUGCGAGUUGUGUGUAACAUGUUUUGUUUGGAACUAUGCCUAUUUUAUUAAGAAUAUUAUUGACAUGA